UUUUUGGAAAUAAUUUAAAGUCUAAUCUGCCCACUGAUAAAUAUAUUAAAGGGCUGCAGUAUUUUGACUGUACAAAGGUAGCAUAAUCAUUAGUCUCUUAAUUGGUGACUUGUAUGAAAGAUUGGAUGAAAUAUAAACUGUCUCUAAUUAAUUUAUAAAAUUUAAUUUUUUAGUAAAAAAGCUAAAAUAAUUUUAAAAGACGAGAAGACCCUAUAGAGUUUUAUAAUUUAUUUGAUUAUUAUUAAUAUGUAAAUUUUAAAAUUAAAAUUAAAUAAAUUAUUUUGUUGGGGUGACAGAAAAAUUAAAUUAACUUUUUUAAAUAAUUAACAUUAAUUUAUGAAUAAAUGAUCCAUUAAUAUUGAUUAAAAGAAAAAAUUACCUUAGGGAUAACAGCGUAAUUUUUUUUUUUAGUUCAAAUAGGAAAAAAAGUUUGCGACCUCGAUGUUGGAUUAAGAUAAAAUUUAAAUGCAAAAGUUUAAAAUUUU
Molecule: ribosomal RNA, 485 nt
Filed under: Papilio machaon hippocrates
Lineage: Eukaryota; Metazoa; Arthropoda; Insecta; Lepidoptera; Papilionidae
Description: partial 16S ribosomal RNA
Source: RNAcentral